UGGGCAACCUGCCCUCAGCUCUGGGAUAACUCCAAGAAAUUGGGGCUAAUACCGGAUAUGACCGCUGACCGCAUGGUCUGGUGGUGGAAAGAUUCAUCGGCUGGGGAUGGGCCCGCGGCCUAUCAGCUUGUUGGUGGGGUAGUGGCCUACCAAGGCGACGACGGGUAGCCGGCCUGAGAGGGUGACCGGCCGCACUGGGACUGAGACACGGCCCAGACUCCUACGGGA
RNAcentral lists this ribosomal RNA (228 nucleotides) under uncultured bacterium. RNAcentral's name for it is "partial 16S ribosomal RNA". It matches the Rfam family "Bacterial small subunit ribosomal RNA", at positions 118 to 346 of the family's 1533-position model. The record is from RNAcentral.